RNAcentral lists this ribosomal RNA (1002 nucleotides) under Triticum aestivum (bread wheat). RNAcentral's name for it is "partial small subunit ribosomal RNA". Lineage: Eukaryota; Viridiplantae; Streptophyta; Magnoliopsida; Poales; Poaceae. The record is from RNAcentral.
AUGGAUAACUUGAUCACAUUAUGUAAUAGUCUUGAUGUGGGAGCUGGAGAACGCGUUACCGCUCUGCAAAUUUUCCCAAAGUUGAAGAAGAUGAGGCUGAUUGAGUUACCAAGGCUGGAGAUGUGGGCAGAAAAUAGUGUGGGAGAGCCUAGUGGUAGCUUGGUAAUGUUCCCGAUGCUCGAAGAGGUAACAAUUAACAAUUGCCCAAAGCUUGCAAGUAUUCCAGUAAUCCCUAUUGUUAGUGAGUGCAGAAGAGAUGGAGUUAACAGUACCACAGUCAGUUCAGUUUUUGUGAGGAUCUGUUCGGGAUUUUGGCGACGAUUUCUCGGCAGCUUAACUCUUGGGUCUCCGAAAGACACAACCAUGUUGCCUCUAGACACCCAGCAAAGCCAAAGCCAAAGAUCUCUUGAAAAACUUAAGUGUUUGACUUUGGAAGGCCCCAACAGCUUGGUCAUAGGCUCUGGAUUGUCCAGAUCACACCUUAUGCUUUGGAAAUGCUUUUCUUUUGUGGAAGAGCUGACGAUUGAGGGAUGCAGCAAUCUUGUCCGCUGGCCAACAGAGGAGUUCCGGUGCUUGGUUCGCCUCCACGGUCUGUGUAUCGAAAAUUGUGACAACCUGGAGGGGAACACUUCAUCGUCUAAGGAGGACACCCUUCCACUGUCCCUAGAGGAAUUGCUGAUUUCAUACUGCAGAAGAUUGGUCAAGCUACCUCCAAACCUUGGAAAUCUGGCCAAGCUGAGGGGUCUUUAUGUGUGUGGCUGCAGUAGCCUAAAAGCGCUGCCUGAUGGGAUGUGUGGCCUCGGUUCUCUUAGGCAAUUGAAGAUUUGGGAUUGUCCAGCUAUGGAAGAAUUCCCGCAUGGUCUCCUGGAGCGGUUGCCAGCCCUCGAAUACUUAAGCAUAGAAGACUGCCCGGAGUUGGGACGACGAUGCAGAGAAGGUGGAGAGUAUUUCCACUUGGUCUCUACUGUCCCGCACAAGUGGAUACCGUCAACUUAUUUUUGA